This 274-nucleotide ribosomal RNA is filed under the name uncultured bacterium. RNAcentral's name for it is "partial 16S ribosomal RNA". It matches the Rfam family "Bacterial small subunit ribosomal RNA", at positions 523 to 796 of the family's 1533-position model. The record is from RNAcentral.
AAACGUAGGAGGCGAGCGUUAUCCGGAUUUACUGGGCGUAAAGCGCGUGCAGGCGGUUUGGUAAGUCGGACGUGAAAGCUCCCGGCUCAACUGGGAGAGGCCGUUCGAAACUGCCAGACUAGAGGGCAGCAGAGGGAGGUGGAAUUCCGGGUGUAGCGGUGAAAUGCGUAGAUAUCCGGAGGAACACCAGUGGCGAAGGCGGCCUCCUGGACUGUCCCUGACGCUAAGACGCGAAAGCGUGGGGAGCAAACAGGAUUAGAUACCCCAGUAGUCC